UGCCCAAGAGAUCGGGAUAACACCUGGAAGCAGAUGCUAAUACCGGAUAACAACAGAUGAUGCCUAUCAACUGUUUAAAAGAUGGUUCUGCUAUCACUCUUGGAUGGACCUGCGGUGCAUUAGCUAGUUGGUAGGGUAACGGCCUACCAAGGCGAUGAUGCAUAGCCGAGUUGAGAGACUGAUCGGCCACAUUGGGACUGAGACACGGCCCAAACUCCUACGGGAGGCAGCAGAC
This 235-nucleotide ribosomal RNA is filed under the name uncultured Lactobacillus sp. RNAcentral describes it as "partial 16S ribosomal RNA". It matches the Rfam family "Bacterial small subunit ribosomal RNA", at positions 127 to 354 of the family's 1533-position model. Lineage: Bacteria; Bacillati; Bacillota; Bacilli; Lactobacillales; Lactobacillaceae. The record is from RNAcentral.